Molecule: transfer RNA, 85 nt
Filed under: Puniceicoccales bacterium
Lineage: Bacteria; Pseudomonadati; Verrucomicrobiota; Opitutia; Puniceicoccales
Description: tRNA-Leu
Rfam family: tRNA
About the family: Transfer RNA (tRNA) molecules are approximately 80 nucleotides in length. Their secondary structure includes four short double-helical elements and three loops (D, anti-codon, and T loops). Further hydrogen bonds mediate the characteristic L-shaped molecular structure. tRNAs have two regions of fundamental functional importance: the anti-codon, which is responsible for specific mRNA codon recognition, and the 3' end, to which the tRNAs corresponding amino acid is attached (by aminoacyl-tRNA synthetases). tRNAs cope with the degeneracy of the genetic code in two manners: having more than one tRNA (with a specific anti-codon) for a particular amino acid; and 'wobble' base-pairing, i.e. permitting non-standard base-pairing at the 3rd anti-codon position.
Source: RNAcentral
GCCCGGGUGGUGAAAUUGGCAGACACGCUGGAUUUAGGUUCCAGUGCCGCAAGGCGUGCGGGUUCAAGUCCCGCCCCGGGCACCA